RNAcentral lists this ribosomal RNA (611 nucleotides) under uncultured bacterium. Its description in RNAcentral is "bacterial SSU rRNA". It matches the Rfam family "Bacterial small subunit ribosomal RNA", at positions 313 to 921 of the family's 1533-position model. The record is from RNAcentral.
CUGGGACUGAGAUACGGCCCAGACUCCUACGGGAGGCAGCAGUGGGGAAUAUUGCACAAUGGGCGCAAGCCUGAUGCAGCGACGCCGCGUGGGGGAUGACGGCCUUCGGGUUGUAAACCUCUUUCACCAUCGGCGAAGCCCAUAGCUUUUGUUGUGGGUGACGGUAGGUGGAGAAGAAGCACCGGCCAACUACGUGCCAGCAGCCGCGGUAAUACGUAGGGUGCGAGCGUUGUCCGGAAUUACUGGGCGUAAAGAGCUCGUAGGUGGUUUGUCGCGUUGUCCGUGAAAUUCCCUGGCUUAACUGGGGGCGUGCGGGCGAUACGGGCAGACUGGAGUACUGCAGGGGAGACUGGAAUUCCUGGUGUAGCGGUGGAAUGCGCAGAUAUCAGGAGGAACACCGGUGGCGAAGGCGGGUCUCUGGGCAGUAACUGACGCUGAGGAGCGGAAGCGUGGGGAGCGAACAGGAUUAGAUACCCUGGUAGUCCACGCCGUAAACGGUGGGUACUAGGUGUGGGUUUCCUUCCUUGGGAUCCGUGCCGUAGCUAACGCAUUAAGUACCCCGCCUGGGGAGUACGGCCGCAAGGCUAAAACUCAAAGGAAUGACGAAGGCG